AUAACUUUCUCGGCCUCUUGGCUAAGAUCAAAUGUAGUAUCUGUUCUUAUCAGUUUAAUAUCUGAUACAUGGAUCUACGGAUCCAUGAUAUAUUAAGUUAACUUUUUUGUGGGGGAGAAUCCACCUGUUGGCGGUUCUCACGCGUUGUCCAAGUGCUGCACUACUGCUUGGAACAGGCGCACCCCAA
Triticum aestivum (bread wheat) is the source of this 187-nucleotide non-coding RNA. The record is from Rfam. NCBI's taxonomy places the organism in Eukaryota, Viridiplantae, Streptophyta, Magnoliopsida, Poales, Poaceae.